Molecule: ribosomal RNA, 450 nt
Filed under: uncultured bacterium
Lineage: Bacteria
Description: bacterial SSU rRNA
Rfam family: Bacterial small subunit ribosomal RNA
Source: RNAcentral
GUGGGGAAUAUUGGACAAUGGGCGAAAGCCUGAUCCAGCCAUGCCGCGUGUGUGAAGAAGGUCUUCGGAUUGUAAAGCACUUUAAGUUGGGAGGAAGGGCAGUAAGUUAAUACCUUGCUGUUUUGACGUUACCAACAGAAUAAGCACCGGCUAACUUCGUGCCAGCAGCCGCGGUAAUACGAAGGGUGCAAGCGUUAAUCGGAAUUACUGGGCGUAAAGCGCGCGUAGGUGGUUCAGCAAGUUGGAGGUGAAAUCCCCGGGCUCAACCUGGGAACUGCCUCCAAAACUACUGAGCUAGAGUACGGUAGAGGGUAGUGGAAUUUCCUGUGUAGCGGUGAAAUGCGUAGAUAUAGGAAGGAACACCAGUGGCGAAGGCGACUACCUGGACUGAUACUGACACUGAGGUGCGAAAGCGUGGGGAGCAAACAGGAUUAGAAACCCCGGUAGUCC